This 31-nucleotide non-coding RNA is filed under the name Homo sapiens (human). Lineage: Eukaryota; Metazoa; Chordata; Mammalia; Primates; Hominidae. The record is from RNAcentral.
AUAACCUGACGUGUCCACCUUACUGCUGUGU